AGAGUUUGAUCCUGGCUCAGGAUGAACGCUAGCGACAGGCCUAACACAUGCAAGUCGAGGGGCAGCGUGCCGUAGCAAUACGGUGACGGCGACCGGCGCACGGGUGAGUAACGCGUAUGCAACCUGCCCGCGGACGCGGGAUAGCCUCCCGAAAGGGAGAUUAAACCCGCAUGGCGAGGACUGGCCGCAUGGCCUAUCCUCCAAACACCAGGGUCCGCGGAUGGGCAUGCGUUCCAUUAGGUAGUAGGCGGGGCAACGGCCCACCUAGCCUGCGAUGGAUAGGGGUUCUGAGAGGAAGGUCCCCCACACUGGUACUGAGACACGGACCAGACUCCUACGGGAGGCAGCAGUGAGGAAUAUUGGUCAAUGGGCGAGAGCCUGAACCAGCCAAGUCGCGUGAAGGAAGAAGGUUCUAUGGAUUGUAAACUUCUUUUGCAGGGGAAUAAAGGACGGUACGUGUACUGUUUUGUAUGUACCCUGCGAAUAAGGAUCGGCUAACUCCGUGCCAGCAGCCGCGGUAAUACGGAGGAUCCGAGCGUUAUCCGGAUUUAUUGGGUUUAAAGGGUGCGUAGGCGGCCUGUCAAGUCGGCGGUGAAACCCCCGGGCUCAACCCGGGGACUGCCGUCGAAACUGACGGGCUUGAGUACGUUGGGAGUGCGCGGAAUGUGUGGUGUAGCGGUGAAAUGCUUAGAUAUCACACAGAACACCGAUCGCGAAGGCAGCGCACUACGCCGUAACUGACGCUGAGGCACGAAGGUGCGGGGAUCGAACAGGAUUAGAUACCCUGGUAGUCCGCACAGUAAACGAUGGAUGCUCGCCGUCCGCGAUAUACAGCGGGUGGCCAAGCGAAAGCGAUAAGCAUCCCACCUGGGGAGUACGCCGGCAACGGUGAAACUCAAAGGAAUUGACGGGGGCCCGCACAAGCGGAGG
Molecule: ribosomal RNA, 930 nt
Filed under: Candidatus Hydrogenedentes bacterium ADurb.Bin179
Lineage: Bacteria; Pseudomonadati; Candidatus Hydrogenedentota
Description: bacterial SSU rRNA
Rfam family: Bacterial small subunit ribosomal RNA
Source: RNAcentral